CCCUGGUCGCCGCCCGCCUGCUCCCCUCCGACGAGACCCAGAGAAUGGAGUCGCAGGGAUCCGUUACCCCUCCCCCGCUCCAUCCGCCCGGCAUUGACAUGGCGCCCAGGCCAAUGGCCGCCCCUCCCGCGACGCCCGCACCCGAGCCAGCGGUGGCGGUGCUGCCAGCGGCAUCCACAGCAGCGCGGAGGAGGUGCCAAAGCCUGGGGCUUGGGUGUGGCAGGGUCGGCACCCCCGGUAGUCCCCUGGCUCGAUCUUGGCG
This 262-nucleotide long non-coding RNA is filed under the name Setaria viridis. Its description in RNAcentral is "long non-coding RNA (SVIR_LNC006944)". The record is from RNAcentral. Lineage: Eukaryota; Viridiplantae; Streptophyta; Magnoliopsida; Poales; Poaceae.